RNAcentral lists this ribosomal RNA (352 nucleotides) under Pseudomonas aeruginosa. RNAcentral's name for it is "bacterial SSU rRNA". It matches the Rfam family "Bacterial small subunit ribosomal RNA", at positions 1 to 355 of the family's 1533-position model. The record is from RNAcentral. Lineage: Bacteria; Pseudomonadati; Pseudomonadota; Gammaproteobacteria; Pseudomonadales; Pseudomonadaceae.
GAACUGAAGAGUUUGAUCAUGGCUCAGAUUGAACGCUGGCGGCAGGCCUAACACAUGCAAGUCGAGCGGAUGAAGGGAGCUUGCUCCUGAAUUCAGCGGCGGACGGGUGAGUAAUGCCUAGGAAUCUGCCUGGUAGUGGGGGAUAACGUCCGGAAACGGGCGCUAAUACCGCAUACGUCCUGAGGGAGAAAGUGGGGGAUCUUCGGACCUCACGCUAUCAGAUGAGCCUAGGUCGGAUUAGCUAGUUGGUGGGGUAAAGGCCUACCAAGGCGACGAUCCGUAACUGGUCUGAGAGGAUGAUCAGUCACACUGGAACUGAGACACGGUCCAGACUCCUACGGGAGGCAGCAGU